GCAAAAAGGUCUAUCGAAACCAGUACAUUCCUCACUUGAGCAUCUGCAACGGUGCAAGGUCGUCGACACUGCAAUCGUCAGGUUUCAGUUUCCGUUCAUUAUCAUUUGACGGAGGAGUCAGUCCGUCCAAAUAAGAGAAUGUCCCGAGAUUGUUGGUACAAGAAGGAGAGGAAAAAACAAUGACAUGACGCAUAAUCUAAUCAUAGUUUAAUCACCUUUUUAUUUUUUUUAUUUUUAAAAUGCUGACCAUUUUUAAAGUUGAUACCACCUAACCAUUUAUUUAUCAGCAAAAGGAAGAAAUGUUUGGAAACUUGACUUAUAAAAGAAGAAAUUUGGGUUGUCUUCAUAAUUCCAUAUGAAUGUCUCUUUAUGUCAUGAUUUUUUUUCUUACCAAUUUUUUAGUUUAUGAUUUUCUAAUAUGAAAAGAAUUUAAAAUUUUUAAUCUUUCAAUGUUUAUGUAAAACAUCUUACCACCAUGAUUUUCAAGAUUUUAACUUUUUUAUUAUAUUUAAAUGUGUUUUGAUAUUCCAUUCAAAAGCUCAGUAUAAACUCAAUUUUUAAAUCCUUUUUAAAAUCAUUAAGUCAGAAAUAAACUUAGAAUUAGUAAAUUUGCAGCGUUUUUAUCUAAUGUGUAUUAUUUACUUCUCGAAUAGGUGUUCUGGUUUGGGUUUAUCCUAGUGAUUCAUUGGAAGUGUAUGUUAUUUAGUGUCACAAUAAUUUGCUUGCUUGUGUAUGUGUUUAUUGUAUUGUAAUAUUUCUCUUUGUCAUACAUAUAUCUUUACUUAUAAAUAAUAUGUAGUAAAUAAAUAUAUAUGUUUAUAGUAAAUUAACUCUAUCAAAUGAUUAAGAGUUAAAUUUACAAUUGCUGAGGCCUCCCGGUGAAGAGAAUCUCCUAAUGGGAUUUCUCACAAAGCUGUCGUUGCAGCACUUAUUCUUUGCUUUUGAAUGUAGCUUGUCUGCUUCAAAUGAUUAAUAUUGUUGUCCAAGGGUGUUAUGUUACCUUGAAUCAAAAUCGUUGGAUUGUUAUAAAAUGUUAAUGAUAAGUAAGGAAUUUAAAUUAUUAAAAUAUGUGUACUUAUAUGCCUAUUCUGCUGCUCUGGAAAACUGCAUCUUUAAACAGAUAUUUAAAAAAUAUAUAAGCAAGUUCAAAUUAAUACACAUUUUUAUCAACUGAUAUGUUAAAAUGCAAUAUUUCUGACUAUUAAUAAAUACAACUGCUUUACUCCUAAAUUAUUUCACCAUAUCUUACAAAAUAACUGCACAGUUAUUGCACUCUGGUUAUCAAAUAUUUGCUACUCCAAAAAUGUUUCAGUGUAAAAUUGUCUAAUAAAUACAUUUUGUCAAAUUAUUUUACUUUAUACUGUCCAAAAAUUAUGAAUUACUGCCAUUAACACAUGUGAAAUUAUGCCAUCAACAUCUGUGAUAGUAAACAAAUAUGGCUGCAUACCACAGCUCUGUUAACUAUCUAGAACUGUUGUGAGAGUCAAUAAAAUGCCUUUAGAGUAUCAACUCUUUUGUACAUUUUAAGUGGAUGGAAGCACCACUUUCAACUGAUAGAAGAAUGAGUGAAACCUUACCAUUAUUAAUUAAUUCAAAAUCAAAAUAUUUAUAUAUUUAUUCAAAAUUGUCCAUUUCAGAGAAAAUCAGUUUUCUUUCAUGAUAGUUGUCAAUCUAUUGGAUUAUUUCAUUGAAAUUUUAACAAAUUAAAAAUGUAAUAAUUACUAUGAAAUAUUUUUCAUAUAGUUGAUAUAAUAAAAGUUUGGAUGACAGUAUUAAAGUGAAUACAAAUUUAAUAAAUUUCUAAAAAUUCUAAGAUUUUUAAAUGUUAUUUUAAGGUUUCACUAUGAAUGGUAGUAGAAUGGAUUACGAGAUUGCAUAGGUUGGAAUACACUGCCAGGUCGCUGACUCAUCCAAUUUGGUGUCUGAAACAGUGGUACUUCACAAGCAUAAAUAAAAAGACUCAUUUGAAAUAACUUUGCUUUAUUACCAUCUUGUUCUAGAGCACUAGCCUUAAUAAAAAAGGUGUUAUUUCAUAAGCAUUAUUUAAAUGACUCAUUUGAAACAACUGUACUGUGUUAUUUAAUCUUGCACUAGCAGCAGCAGUUUACUAAUGAAAUAGUAGUACUUCAGGAGAAUCAAAUAAAUGAAUCACUUGAAACAAGUUUGCUGCAAUAUUUACCUUGAUCUAGAAUUGCACAUUAACAUUUCUGCAUAUGAUAUAUAACAUAAAUAAUCCUUACAUAUUGAGAUUAAAACCAUUCUCAGGAGUAUUAGAUGUUAGAUCUUUAACUUGCUGAUCUGAUCAAGGUAUUUGAAGAAUAUUUAUGUAAUAUUCAUAUUCCGAAAUGAAGAAAACAUGUCAUGGCAGUUUAUUUGUAAUUUUUUGACACCCAUUCCCAUGCACUGUCAAUUAAUUGUACUGAUUAUAUUUAAUAUUUUCUCAAUUUAUUGUUUGAUGAUAUGCCUUUUUUUUAAAUCAUGCAAAAAUUAUCGGAGCAGUUGUAAGCUAAGUAACUGUUUACCAUGCUGACUUCUAUAAAUCCAACAAAUAUGCAUAUAAAUGAUUACAAUUAUAUUACUGUUACAUGAUUUUGAUUGAGGUAUACAUUGUAGAAUGUAAUGAUGUUGCAUGUAUGAAAUUAAUAUAGAUUGAAUAUUAACUUUUUCUUCUAUAAAAUAGCACAGCAUUAAUGCUUUGUACAUUCAAACUUUUGACUUGUACUCUGUUUUAUAGUUAGAAAAAAAAAUAUUUUAUUUGUUCUGUUUCACAAUUAGAAAAAAUAAUAAAUUACUGCCAACUAUAACAACUACAACUCAGUUAACGUUAAGAGUUGUUGCAGCUAUAUUAACUAUCAGACUUAAUUCUGAGAGUCAGAGAUGCCUUUAGAGUAUCAACCUUUUUCACAUUAAAGAUGGAUGGUAGCACCACUUUAAAAUGAUAAAAGUGUACGUGAAACUUUAAUAUCAUUAAAUUGGUUUUUACUUAAAAUAUUCACACUUUUCAUUGUAUUCAGUACUUUUGCUAUAUAUUUUUAAAAACAUAUUAGUAUAACUUAAUAUAUAAUUUUGUUUAUUCAAUAAUAAAAAUAUAGCAUUCUAAGCAAGCUAUAGGAUAAGUUUUUAAAAAGAGACAAUAUAUUGGAAUACUUUUGAACUGUUAAAAUCCCCUUUACUCUCAUGACUUGUAAUAUAAUGUGUCUUAGAAAUAAUUGAUAACCUAUAAAAGAGAUAAACUGCUAAUUUCAGAGCUUUCUUUUACUGGUUUAAUAUUAACUAAAAUUUCUUGCACUUAUAUAAAUAAUCAGAAAGUAAAGGGGCAAAUGUUCCAGUUUUGGUAAGGUUUCACCAGGAAUGGUAAAUGAAUGGCAUUCUGGAUUGCUAAGGUUCGUUAACACUGCCAGGUUGCUUACCUUUCCACUAUGGUGUUUGAAAAAGUAGUACUUCACAAGCAUGUAUCAUAAGAUGACUCAUUUCAAGUUAAAUGUUAGUGAAAUUUUCUGCUGCAAACAGAGAAACAACAUGGCAGUUAAUUUGUUGUUUUACUUUUUGUAUAAGUUUAGUUUUCAUUUAAUAAGUAUUGCACUAUUCUACUCACUGCACAUGUUCUAAUUCAGUUUCUAACUGACUUAUGUUUAUUGACUUUAUGCUAAUUCAUUUAAGUUAUAUGGAAAAUUAAACAUAUUUUAUAAGUAAUCAUUCAUUUUCAUUUUGAAAUGUAAAGCAUGAUGUUAUGCUUUUUUAUCUUAAAAAGUUGCACCAAUUUUUGAAGUUUGCUUUAUAGCUCAGUUUAAGUUUGAAAUUGAAUUACCUGCUUAUAUGCUUAUGAUUCUAAUAAACAUUUGUUGUUGA
Molecule: long non-coding RNA, 3849 nt
Organism: Argiope bruennichi
Lineage: Eukaryota; Metazoa; Arthropoda; Arachnida; Araneae; Araneidae
Exons: 3
Source: RefSeq, a predicted model, not a curated record